RNAcentral lists this ribosomal RNA (253 nucleotides) under uncultured bacterium. RNAcentral describes it as "partial 16S ribosomal RNA". It matches the Rfam family "Bacterial small subunit ribosomal RNA", at positions 524 to 776 of the family's 1533-position model. The record is from RNAcentral.
UACAGAGGGGGCAAGCGUUGUUCGGAAUUACUGGGCGUAAAGGGCGCGUAGGCGGCCUUCUAAGUCGAACGUGAAAUCCCCGGGCUCAACCCGGGAACUGCGUCCGAUACUGGAAGGCUUGAAUCCGGGAGAGGGAUGCGGAAUUCCAGGUGUAGCGGUGAAAUGCGUAGAUAUCUGGAGGAACACCGGUGGCGAAGGCGGCACCCUGGACCGGAAUUGACGCUGAGGCGCGAAAGCCAGGGGAGCAAACGGG